This 253-nucleotide ribosomal RNA is filed under the name uncultured bacterium. RNAcentral's name for it is "partial 16S ribosomal RNA". It matches the Rfam family "Bacterial small subunit ribosomal RNA", at positions 524 to 776 of the family's 1533-position model. The record is from RNAcentral.
UACGGAGGGUGCAAGCGUUGCUCGGAAUUAUUGGGCGUAAAGCGCACGCAGGCGGCAAGGUAAGUCAGUUGUGAAAUUCCCGAGCUUAACUUGGGAGCUGCAGCUGAUACUGCCCUGCUUGAGUACGGAAGAGGGGAGCGGAAUUCCCAGUGUAGAGGUGAAAUUCGUAGAUAUUGGGAGGAACACCGGUGGCGAAGGCGGCUCCCUGGUCCGAUACUGACGCUCAUGUGCGAAAGCGUGGGGAGCAAACAGG